Molecule: ribosomal RNA, 426 nt
Filed under: uncultured bacterium
Lineage: Bacteria
Description: bacterial SSU rRNA
Rfam family: Bacterial small subunit ribosomal RNA
Source: RNAcentral
CAGUGGGGAAUAUUGGACAAUGGGCGCAAGCCUGAUCCAGCAAUGCCGCGUGGGUGAAGAAGGUCUUCGGAUCGUAAAGCCCUUUCGACAGGGACGAUGAUGACGGUACCUGUAGAAGAAGCCCCGGCUAACUUCGUGCCAGCAGCCGCGGUAAUACGAAGGGGGCUAGCGUUGCUCGGAAUUACUGGGCGUAAAGGGCGCGUAGGCGGCUUAGUCAGUCAGGCGUGAAAUUCCUGGGCUUAACCUGGGGGCUGCGUUUGAGACGGCUGAGCUAGAGGGUAGGAGAGGGUCGUGGAAUUCCCAGUGUAGAGGUGAAAUUCGUAGAUAUUGGGAAGAACACCGGUGGCGAAGGCGGCGACCUGGCCUAUUACUGACGCUGAGGCGCGACAGCGUGGGGAGCAAACAGGAUUAGAUACCCCAGUAGUC